This 443-nucleotide ribosomal RNA is filed under the name uncultured prokaryote. RNAcentral describes it as "bacterial SSU rRNA". It matches the Rfam family "Bacterial small subunit ribosomal RNA", at positions 355 to 796 of the family's 1533-position model. The record is from RNAcentral.
UUUCGAAUCAUUGGCUAAUGCGCGAAAGCGUGACCAUGCAAUGCCGCGUGGGGGAUGACGGCCUUCGGGUUGUAAACCCCUGUCAAUAAGGAAUAAAACCACGUGAAGAGCGUGCUUGAACUAACUUAUAGAGGAAGAGGUGGCUAACUCCGUGCCAGCAGCCGCGGUAAUACGGAGACCUCGAGCGUUACUCGGAUUCACUGGGCGUAAAGGGAGCGCAGGCGGAUCGGUAUGUCAGGUGUGAAAGCCCAGGGCUCAACUCUGGAACUGCGCCUGAAACUACCGAUCUUGAGGCUUGGAGAGGUAAGCGGAAUUCCUGGUGUAGCGGUGAAAUGCAUAGAUAUCAGGAGGAACACCCAUGGCGAAGGCAGCUUACUGGACAAGUUCUGACGCUCAGGCUCGAAAGCGUGGGUAGCGAAAGGGAUUAGAUACCCCCGUAGUCC